GCCGGCGGGCUCGCGGCGCUCCCCCUGGCGGCGGCUCCUCCCGCGGCCCGGCGCGGCCUUCCAGGGCUUUCUCUGCCGCCCCGAGGACGCCGCGGCGACCCCCGCCGCCCAGACGUGCGCCGGGCGCUGCGUUUUCGUUCGCCGCCCUCCCAGACGGUGCCCGUUCUGACGUACUUGUAAUCCAGUCAGAAAAGAAGCCAUUCACGAGCCCACAUAGUUUCCUCAGUGAGACAAAGAAAUAUUUAUGAUAUGCUGAAACAGCUGAAGAAGUGUUCAGUUCAAAGCUUCAGAGGGAGGAAACAGAAACAGGAGAAACAGGAGACAAGAGAGCUCUUGGCUACAGGACUGCAAACGACACCCUAAAACGUGGAGCUGCAAACCUUGGUGAUUUAAAUGCAGGCUGCCAGGCAAAUUGCAGUGACAUAAAUUUGGCCCAUGUGUUUUGCAUCGUGUGAAUAUGAAACAGGGGAAACCAUGGAGCCGAGUUUUGUUGGCAUUGGACUCAGGAGGUUUGGUGGGCUCUUUUCAGACAUGCUGCCCACAGCAAGGUCACAUCUCAAAUAUGAACGUCACCCAGAGGUUACCCAGGUGAUCCUAGGCCAUCCUGAGCAUGCAGCUGUGCAGGGCUUGACCUUGAAGGACAGAUGGCAUCAGGGGGAAUUCUUUUAUACCUUGUAUUGGCCAGGGCUCAGCUUCUGACAUUUCUGUCUACAGACGACAAAAGGCUUUCAUUGUAAGCUGCUUUCUGAUGCGUGCUUAAAACCAAGUUGAACACAUUAAA
Molecule: long non-coding RNA, 781 nt
Organism: Prionailurus viverrinus (fishing cat)
Lineage: Eukaryota; Metazoa; Chordata; Mammalia; Carnivora; Felidae
Exons: 4
Source: RefSeq, a predicted model, not a curated record